Transfer RNA from Camelus ferus (Wild Bactrian camel), 72 nucleotides. It matches the Rfam family "tRNA". From Rfam's summary of the family: Transfer RNA (tRNA) molecules are approximately 80 nucleotides in length. The record is from Rfam. NCBI's taxonomy places the organism in Eukaryota, Metazoa, Chordata, Mammalia, Artiodactyla, Camelidae.
GUGGAUAUAGCUCAGUGGUAGAGCUCAUGAUUAGCAUGCAUGAGGUCCUGGGUCUAAUCCCCAGUACCUCCA